UUCUCCUACGGGAGGCAGCAGUAGGGAAUCUUCCACAAUGGACGCAAGUCUGAUGGAGCAACGCCGCGUGAGUGAAGAAGGUCUUCGGAUCGUAAAGCUCUGUUGUUGGUGAAGAAGGAUAGAGGCAGUAACUGGUCUUUAUUUGACGGUAAUCAACCAGAAAGUCACGGCUAACUACGUGCCAGCAGCCGCGGUAAUACGUAGGUGGCAAGCGUUGUCCGGAUUUAUUGGGAGUAAAGCGAGCGCAGGCGGAAUGAUAAGUCUGAUGUGAAAGAGCACGGCUCAACCGUGGAACUGCAUCGGAAACUGUCAUUCUUGAGUGCAGAAGAGAGA
Molecule: ribosomal RNA, 333 nt
Filed under: uncultured bacterium
Lineage: Bacteria
Description: bacterial SSU rRNA
Rfam family: Bacterial small subunit ribosomal RNA
Source: RNAcentral